AUGGCUGUGAACAUCAAUGGGGAGAUCGGGCCUUACUUCUUGGCUGGCCAAGGCGUACGGCAAGGGGAUCCGAUCUCCCCAUUUCUUUUCAACCUUGUGAUCGAUGCUCUUGCUUCGAUCCUAGAUCUGGCUAAACGAGCCGGCCACAUUCGGGUGAUUUGCCCCCAUCUUGUGGCCAAUGGAGGUCUGACCCACCUCCAAUAUGCGGAUGAUACCAUUAUGAUGGUGAAAGGAUCGGACGAGGAUAUUCAGAACCUCAAGUUCCUCCUCCUCUGCUUUCAGGAGAUGUCGGGUCUCACGAUCAAUUUCGUCAAGAGUGAGGUGAUGGUCCUAGGACACUCCCAGGCGGAGGCUUAACGAAUCGCCAAUUGCUUGAAUUGUCGGUUGGGGUCCUUCCCGACCGCUUAUCUUGGCAUGCCAAUUAGUGACACACAUCUACUGGAGAAGGACUUUCGCCCAAUAAUCGCCAAGCUCCAGCCUAGGAUGGAGCCUUGGCAGGGGAGAUGGCUUUCUAAAGCCGCUCGAGUUAUUUUGAUGAACUCCUUCCUUAUUAGCCUUUUGAUGUACAUAAUGGGAUUAUAUAGUCUACAUGAAUCCCUUCAUCAUGAGGUCACCAAACUCCUUUCCAGAUUCUUCCGGGCGAGAGAAAACAAUAAACAGAAGUACCACAUGGUGAAGUGGUCUGAGAUCUGCAAGCCUAAGGACCAAGGAGGCAUGGGAGUCAUUUCAUCCAAGUGGAUGAAUAUUGCCCUCCUCUCCAAAUGGCUCUGGCGUAUUCAGACCGAUGCGGGUAGUCGGUGGCUCGAGAUUAUCCGCGCAAAGUAUCUUCAUGGUCAGCCACUAGCCUUCGCUCCCAGAUCUGGAGGAUCUCAAUUCUGGCAAUCGGUGAUCCGCUUCAUGUCGGUCUUGCGCAUUGGGACCUCUAUUAAAGUGGGCUCCAGGUCCGACGCAUUAUUCUGGCUAGAUAGGUGGGCAGGGACUCGCCCAUUUGCGGAACGCUUCUACGCGUUAUUCUCAAUCUGUUCCGCCCACAGCUCUCUGUAG
This 1044-nucleotide ribosomal RNA is filed under the name Triticum aestivum (bread wheat). Its description in RNAcentral is "partial small subunit ribosomal RNA". The record is from RNAcentral. Lineage: Eukaryota; Viridiplantae; Streptophyta; Magnoliopsida; Poales; Poaceae.